RNAcentral lists this unclassified non-coding RNA (439 nucleotides) under Turnera reginae. Its description in RNAcentral is "partial external transcribed spacer". Lineage: Eukaryota; Viridiplantae; Streptophyta; Magnoliopsida; Malpighiales; Passifloraceae. The record is from RNAcentral.
CAUUCCUUUAAGAGAACGCGGCCCGCGCAGUUCUCCCCGGUCAGGAUUGACCGGGCAAAAUCCGCAGCAGGCGCGAUCGUCGUACUUUCCGAGGCACAAGGCAACCCGAUGGGGCAUCCAGGGGAGACAAACACCCCCGCCCUCGUAACAUUCCGCAUCCGAAACCACGAGCAAUAGACAUAUGCGCCGGCGCAGCCAACAGUGGCGUGCGAGGAACACGCGCAUCGCUACGAGGUCGCCCCCUUGCCAUGACAGGCAAAGGACGAAAAGGCACAAGCAUCGAAUUCAAUUUCCACAAUAGUGGGUAAGCAACACAGGAACCUAGCAUCACCACGAAAAGUGUUUCGGGUGGUCGUAUAUGGAGGGAUCGCCGGAGAACAGUUCGGUGCGCGAAGCAUGGAGCCUGCCUUCCCAAACGAUCCUAACACCACUCACGCGC